UACGUAGGGGGCGAGCGUUGUCCGGAUUUAUUGGGCGUAAAGAGCGUGUAGGCGGCCAGGUAGGUCUGCUGUGAAAACUCGAGGCUUAACCUCGAGAUGUCGGCGGAAACCAUCUGGCUAGAGUCCGGAAGAGGAGAGCGGAAUUCCUGGUGUAGCGGUGAAAUGCGCAGAUAUCAGGAGGAACACCCGUGGCGAAGGCGGCUCUCUGGGACGGUACUGACGCUGAGACGCGAAAGCGUGGGGAGCGAACAGG
Molecule: ribosomal RNA, 253 nt
Filed under: uncultured bacterium
Lineage: Bacteria
Description: partial 16S ribosomal RNA
Rfam family: Bacterial small subunit ribosomal RNA
Source: RNAcentral